RNAcentral lists this ribosomal RNA (425 nucleotides) under uncultured bacterium. RNAcentral's name for it is "bacterial SSU rRNA". It matches the Rfam family "Bacterial small subunit ribosomal RNA", at positions 354 to 796 of the family's 1533-position model. The record is from RNAcentral.
GUGGGGAAUCUUGCGCAAUGGGCGAAAGCCUGACGCAGCCAUGCCGCGUGAAUGAUGAAGGUCUUAGGAUUGUAAAAUUCUUUCACCGGGGACGAUAAUGACGGUACCCGGAGAAGAAGCCCCGGCUAACUUCGUGCCAGCAGCCGCGGUAAUACGAAGGGGGCUAGCGUUGCUCGGAAUUACUGGGCGUAAAGGGCGCGUAGGCGGAUCGUUAAGUCAGGGGUGAAAUCCCAGAGCUCAACUCUGGAACUGCCCUUGAUACUGGCGAUCUUGAGUGUGAGAGAGGUAUGUGGAACUCCGAGUGUAGAGGUGAAAUUCGUAGAUAUUCGGAAGAACACCAGUGGCGAAGGCGACAUACUGGCUCAUUACUGACGCUGAGGCGCGAAAGCGUGGGGAGCAAACAGGAUUAGAUACCCCAGUAGUCC